CCUACGGGGCGCACCAGUGGGGAAUAUUGCACAAUGGGCGCAAGCCUGAUGCAGCCAUGCCGCGUGUAUGAAGAAGGCCUUCGGGUUGUAAAGUACUUUCAGCGGGGAGGAAGGUGUUGUGGUUAAUAACCGCAGCAAUUGACGUAACCCGCAGAAGAAGCACCGGCUAACUCUGUGCCAGCAGCCGCGGUAAUACGGAGGGUGCAAGCGUUAAUCGGAAUUACUGGGCGUAAGCGCACGCAGGCGGUCUGUCAAGUCGGAUGUGAAAUCCCCGGGCUCAACCUGGGAACUGCAUUCGAAACUGGCAGGCUAGAGUCUUGUAGAGGGGGGUAGAAUUCCAGGUGUAGCGGUGAUAUGCGUAGAGAUCUGGAGGAAUACCGGUGGCGAAGGCGGCCCCCUGGACAAAGACUGACGCUCAGGUGCGAAAGCGUGGGGAGCAAACAGGAUUAGAUACCCCGGUAGUC
This 464-nucleotide ribosomal RNA is filed under the name uncultured bacterium. RNAcentral describes it as "bacterial SSU rRNA". It matches the Rfam family "Bacterial small subunit ribosomal RNA", at positions 338 to 795 of the family's 1533-position model. The record is from RNAcentral.